RNAcentral lists this unclassified non-coding RNA (332 nucleotides) under soil metagenome. RNAcentral describes it as "partial contains 5.8S ribosomal RNA, internal transcribed spacer 2, and large subunit ribosomal RNA". The stretch from base 1 to 120 matches the Rfam family "5.8S ribosomal RNA", at positions 35 to 154 of the family's 154-position model. The record is from RNAcentral.
GAUGAAGAACGUAGCAAAAUGCGAUAAGUAAUGUGAAUUGCAGAAUUCAGUGAAUCAUCGAAUCUUUGAACGCACAUUGCGCCCGCCAGUAUUCAGGCGGGCAUGCCUGUUCGAGCGUCAUUUCAACCCUCAAGCACAGCUUGGUGUUGGGACUCGCGUUAAUUCGCGUUCCCCAAAUUGAUUGGCGGUCACGUCGAGCUUCCAUAGCGUAGUAGUAAAACCCUCGUUACUGGUAAUCGUCGCGGCCACGCCGUUAAACCCCAACUUCUGAAUGUUGACCUCGGAUCAGGUAGGAAUACCCGCUGAACUUAAGCAUAUCAAUAAGCGGAGGA